AGAGGAAGGAGAAGUCGUAACAAGGUUUCCGUAGGUGAACCUGCGGAAGGAUCAUUGUCGAAACCUGCAAAGCAGACCGCGAACACGUGUUUAACAAAAUCGGGGCGGCGGUGAGGGGGCAUGCCCCCGCCUGCUGUCCCAACCCCGAACGGGGCGGCGUUUGUGCCGCCCUGAGCGGGCCUAACAAACUCGGGCGCGGAAUGCGCCAAGGAAAACUGAAAGGUGCGUCCCCCUCCCCAUGCCCGUACGCGGUGCAAUGGGGUGGAAUGGACGUCCGUCGUAAUACCAAAACGACUCUCGGCAACGGAUAUCUCGGCUCUCGCAUCGAUGAAGAACGUAGCGAAAUGCGAUACUUGGUGUGAAUUGCAGAAUCCCGUGAACCAUCGAGUCUUUGAACGCAAGUUGCGCCCGAAGCCAUUAGGCCGAGGGCACGUCUGCCUGGGCGUCACGCAUCGCGUCGCCCCCCCUCCUACUGGGAGCGGGGGCGGAGAAUGGCCCCCCGUGCGACCUGCGCGGCCGGCCCAAAUGCGGUCCCCCGGCGACGCACGUCGCGGCCAGUGGUGGUUGAACUAUCAACUCGCGUGCUGUCGUGACGGAGGCGUCGUCCGUCGGGAACACGAGACAAGACCCAAUGGCGCACAGCGCCUACGACUGCGACCCCAGGUCAGGCGGGACUACCCGCUGAGUUUAAGCAUAUCA
This 699-nucleotide ribosomal RNA is filed under the name Teucrium montbretii subsp. pamphylicum. Its description in RNAcentral is "eukaryotic LSU rRNA". The stretch from base 293 to 448 matches the Rfam family "5.8S ribosomal RNA". Lineage: Eukaryota; Viridiplantae; Streptophyta; Magnoliopsida; Lamiales; Lamiaceae. The record is from RNAcentral.